AAUAGAUACCCCGGUAGUCCACGCCGUAAACGAUGAGUGCUAAGUGUUAGGGGGUUUCCGCCCCUUAGUGCUGCAGCUAACGCAUUAAGCACUCCGCCUGGGGAGUACGGUCGCAAGACUGAAACUCAAAGGAAUUGACGGGGGCCCGCACAAGCGGUGGAGCAUGUGGUUUAAUUCGAAGCAACGCGAAGAACCUUACCAGGUCUUGACAUCCCAUUGACCGCUAUGGAGACAUAGUUUUCCCUUCGGGGACAGUGGUGACAGGUGGUGCAUGGUUGUCGUCAGCUCGUGUCGUGAGAUGUUGGGUUAAGUCCCGCAACGAGCGCAACCCUUGAUCUUAGUUGCCAUCAUUUAGUUGGGAACUCUAAGGUGACUGCCGGUGACAAACCGGAGGAAGGUGGGGAUGACGUCAAAUCAUCAUGCCCCUUAUGACCUGGGCUACACACGUGCUACAAUGGACGGUACAAACGGUUGCCAACCCGCGAGGGGGAGCUAAUCCGAUAAAACCGUUCUCAGUUCGGAUUGUAGGCCGCAACUCGCCUACAUGAAGCC
This 552-nucleotide ribosomal RNA is filed under the name uncultured bacterium. RNAcentral describes it as "bacterial SSU rRNA". It matches the Rfam family "Bacterial small subunit ribosomal RNA", at positions 777 to 1327 of the family's 1533-position model. The record is from RNAcentral.